This 217-nucleotide ribosomal RNA is filed under the name uncultured bacterium. RNAcentral's name for it is "partial 16S ribosomal RNA". It matches the Rfam family "Bacterial small subunit ribosomal RNA", at positions 1276 to 1500 of the family's 1533-position model. The record is from RNAcentral.
CGAAAGCCUGUCUCAGUUCGGAUUGGAGUCUGCAACUCGACUCCAUGAAGCUGGAUUCGCUAGUAAUCGCGCAUCAGCCAUGGCGCGGUGAAUACGUUCCCGGGCCUUGUACACACCGCCCGUCAAGCCAUGGGAGCCGGGGGUGCCUGAAGUACGUGACCGCGAGGAGCGUCCUAGGGCAAAACUGGUGACUGGGGCUAAGUCGUAACAAGGUACC